This 253-nucleotide ribosomal RNA is filed under the name uncultured bacterium. Its description in RNAcentral is "partial 16S ribosomal RNA". It matches the Rfam family "Bacterial small subunit ribosomal RNA", at positions 524 to 776 of the family's 1533-position model. The record is from RNAcentral.
GACAGAGGGUGCAAACGUUGUUCGGAAUUACUGGGCGUAAAGCGUGUGUAGGCGGCUAUGUAAGUCGGAUGUGAAAGCCCUGGGCUCAACCCAGGAAGUGCACUCGAUACUGCGUAGCUUGAGUACCGGAGAGGUUGGUGGAAUUCUCGGUGUAGAGGUGAAAUUCGUAGAUAUCGAGAGGAACACCGGUGGCGAAGGCGGCCAACUGGACGGGUACUGACGCUGAGACACGAAAGCGUGGGGAGCAAACAGG